RNAcentral lists this ribosomal RNA (30 nucleotides) under Hirsutella rhossiliensis. RNAcentral's name for it is "partial 28S ribosomal RNA". The record is from RNAcentral. Lineage: Eukaryota; Fungi; Ascomycota; Sordariomycetes; Hypocreales; Ophiocordycipitaceae.
GUUGACCUCGGAUCAGGUAGGGAUACCCAG